RNAcentral lists this ribosomal RNA (161 nucleotides) under Selenomonas sp. Its description in RNAcentral is "partial 16S ribosomal RNA". It matches the Rfam family "Bacterial small subunit ribosomal RNA", at positions 1 to 160 of the family's 1533-position model. The record is from RNAcentral. Lineage: Bacteria; Bacillati; Bacillota; Negativicutes; Selenomonadales; Selenomonadaceae.
CUUUUAUGGAGAGUUUGAUCCUGGCUCAGGACGAACGCUGGCGGCGUGACUAACACAUGCAAGUCGAACGGGGGUUUUGCUUCGGUAGAACCCUAGUGGCGAACGGGUGAGUAACGCGUAGGCAACCUGCCCUUCAGACGGGGACAACAUCCCGAAAGGGG